This 292-nucleotide ribosomal RNA is filed under the name uncultured eukaryote. RNAcentral's name for it is "partial 18S ribosomal RNA". It matches the Rfam family "Eukaryotic small subunit ribosomal RNA", at positions 6 to 287 of the family's 1831-position model. The record is from RNAcentral.
GGUUGAUCCUGCCAGUAGCAUACGCUUGUCUCAAAGAUUAAGCCAUGCAUUUCUAAGUAUAAAUAACUCUGUACUGUGAAACUGCGAAUGGCUCAUUAUAUCAGUUAUAGUUUAUUUGAUAGUCCCUUACUACUUGGAUAACCGUAGUAACUCUAGAGCUAAUACAUGCGUCAAGUCCUGACUCGGGCAACUGGGAAAGGAUGUAUUUAUUAGAUCCAACCAACCCAGCCGGGCAACCGGCCGGUACCUGGUGAAUCAUGAUAACUGAGCGAAUCGCAUGGCCUCGUGCCGG